RNAcentral lists this ribosomal RNA (327 nucleotides) under uncultured eukaryote. RNAcentral's name for it is "partial 18S ribosomal RNA". It matches the Rfam family "Eukaryotic small subunit ribosomal RNA", at positions 1470 to 1796 of the family's 1831-position model. The record is from RNAcentral.
UCCUUAGAUGUUCUGGGCCGCACGCGCGCUACACUGAUUCAUGCAACAAGUUUUGUCCUUGGCUGAUAGGCCUGGGUAAUCUUUGAACGUGAAUCGUGAUGGGGAUAGAUGAUUGCAAUUAUUCAUCUUCAACGAGGAAUUCCUAGUAAACGCAAGUCAUCAGCUUGCAUUGAUUACGUCCCUGCCCUUUGUACACACCGCCCGUCGCACCUACCGAUUGAAUGGUCCGGUGAAAUCUUCGGAUCUGAGAGAUGUCUGAUUAAUUUCGGACGCCUUUUGGAAAAGUUGUUUAAACCUUACCAUUUAGAGGAAGGUGAAGUCGUANCA